UUAAUGAUUCUGGGCAAUUGAAGGUAUGUUUCUUUCAAUUCAUAUAUUCUUCUUCUUGUGGCUCUCAAUUAUGGAUUUGGUCAAUCUCGAGCUAGUUGGAAUCAGCUGUGUUCAUCUGUUUCCUUAAUUCUACUUGGUUUAGUGCUAUAUUUAUAGAAAGGUCUAUAAUACUGACAGAGCCUUCUUCAUGACUUCAUGUCAAAAGUGGCUAAAUUUCCUUUUUUUAAGCUUGCAUGCGACUUCUGUAGGUUGAUGUAAUUGUGAUGUCAUUCUAGCAAAAUUUAACAAUAGUCACCUUUUCGAAACAAAAUUGAAGUUAAAAGAUUUUACCGUUACAAAUUGAAGUUUAUUGAUUGUUGUGAAAAAUGUGAUAAGUUAAAUGAGCAUAGGUGAAACUGAGUCCAUAUUUCUCUUCGAAUAUAUCUCUAUAGAUGCCUUAAUGUAGACAUUGAUUCAAUUUUUCGUUUUCAUCUCAUCUUUGCAGCUUCAUGAGGGUGUAAA
Molecule: unclassified non-coding RNA, 501 nt
Filed under: Hevea brasiliensis (rubber tree)
Lineage: Eukaryota; Viridiplantae; Streptophyta; Magnoliopsida; Malpighiales; Euphorbiaceae
Source: RNAcentral